UGGGGCAAGUCAGAGGGAUAAGAGUGAGUCAGAUGCUCCUAAAGAAAGAGGCUCCUGACAGGAGGGGCUGUGACAACAAGUCCAGCAGGAAGCCCAGAAGGAGCUCCUGCCUGCUUACUGGUAAAUGGGCAUGGAGGGAGGUAAAGAGGGCAGACAGACGCCAACCUCGAAGCCUGGGAACAUGCACGAUCUCUCAGGAGGAGAGCAUGAUGUGGGACAGAAAAGCCAAAGCAAACCCAGGAACUGCCGAAUGUCUGGGGGACAGAAAGCCUGCCCAGGAGCAUCAGAGGUGCUGGCUAAAGGUGUGCGCCACCACGACCAACGUACACGUAAACUUUAAAAAGAAGACAUGCCUCAGAUUGGGAAAAAUAUUCCCUCCUUCUGGGAAGAGUGGAUUUCACGAAGGAUUCCUAUAUGAAUAUGCAAGGAACUCUGAAAACAAGCAGUCCGAUUUAAAAUUGGACAACAGGUUUGCCAAACAAGACGCACAGAGGCAAGUGAGACACAAGAAGACACUCUGUGCCAUAUGUCAUCCGAGAACUAUAGAGAACGAUGAGGUGCCACUGCGUGAGUAUUAGAACGAGCGAAGUCUAACAUCUAAUACUAGGGGGAGAGCAAAAAUCCCCUUCAUUGCUGAAGGCGAAGCAAGACAGCAGGGCCGUCUUGAGAAACGGUUUUGCAGACUCUAACAAGCUAAGCAGUGUUACACCUGCGGUGUCUGCUCAGAGAAGUUGAAAGCUCACUUCCACAAAACCCUGCAUCGAUGUUCAUGGCGGCUUUCAUUACUGCUACUUACAGGCCAGCAACAUGCACUUCAAGACAGGGCUGCAGAAAUGGCUGCGGUUAAGAGCGAAUAGCUCUUGCAGAGGGGCCCAAGUUUGGUUCCCAGCACUCACAUCAUCACGUGCUGCAUGAGUGUCUCUACCCAGUCCAUCUACACCCUGAAAAGCAGGAGCAAGUUGUCCUCUGUGGGACCACGCC
Molecule: long non-coding RNA, 981 nt
Organism: Rattus norvegicus (Norway rat)
Lineage: Eukaryota; Metazoa; Chordata; Mammalia; Rodentia; Muridae
Source: RefSeq, a predicted model, not a curated record